GACGAACGCUGGCGGCGUGCCUAAUACAUGCAAGUCGAGCGGGGUUCAGUCUUCGGAUUGGACUUAGCGGCGGACGGGUGAGUAACACGUAGGUAACCUGCCUAACAGACUGGGAUAACUACCGGAAACGGUAGCUAAGACCAGAUACGCCAACGAGAGGGCAUCCUCCUGUUGGGAAAAGCGGAGCAAUCUGCUGCUGAUAGAUGGACCUGCGGCGCAUUAGCUAGUUGGUGAGGUAGAGGCUCACCAAGGCGACGAUGCGUAGCCGACCUGAGAGGGUGAACGGCCACACUGGGACUGAGACACGGCCCAGACUCCUACGGGAGGCAG
This 330-nucleotide ribosomal RNA is filed under the name uncultured Bacillota bacterium. RNAcentral's name for it is "bacterial SSU rRNA". It matches the Rfam family "Bacterial small subunit ribosomal RNA", at positions 28 to 351 of the family's 1533-position model. Lineage: Bacteria; Bacillati; Bacillota. The record is from RNAcentral.